RNAcentral lists this ribosomal RNA (213 nucleotides) under uncultured bacterium. RNAcentral describes it as "partial 16S ribosomal RNA". It matches the Rfam family "Bacterial small subunit ribosomal RNA", at positions 122 to 334 of the family's 1533-position model. The record is from RNAcentral.
AAACUUGCCUCACAGCUAGGGACAACAUUUGGAAACGAAUGCUAAUACCUGAUAUUAUGAUUAUAUGGCAUCGUAUAAUUAUGAAAGCUAUAUGCGCUGUGAGAGAGCUUUGCGUCCCAUUAGCUAGUUGGAGAGGUAACGGCUCACCAAGGCGAUGAUGGGUAGCCGGCCUGAGAGGGUGAUCGGCCACAAGGGGACUGAGACACGGCCCUU